AAUAAACACAAUGAAUGCUGCUGUUCCAAAGCCAGGAACUACACACACUGGUAUGGGCUUCAGGGAACAACAGCUUGUGCAUUCUGGGAUGAAAUGAUCCUCAUUUAUGUGACCUGAAAUAUGCACUGAAUCCAGUGUUUCCUUGGCAUUUGGUGAUCUACAGCCUUUUGAUUGUAAAAACAGACAUUUUAAAAUUUAUAUCUCUUAUUAAUCAAAAAUGAGUCAAAGAAGAUGGAGCACAAAGGAAAAAACACACUGAAGGUUUUACCUCACUGUCUGGG
Non-coding RNA from Cyanistes caeruleus (blue tit), 281 nucleotides. NCBI's taxonomy places the organism in Eukaryota, Metazoa, Chordata, Aves, Passeriformes, Paridae. The record is from RefSeq and is a predicted model, not a curated record.